This 422-nucleotide ribosomal RNA is filed under the name uncultured prokaryote. RNAcentral's name for it is "bacterial SSU rRNA". It matches the Rfam family "Bacterial small subunit ribosomal RNA", at positions 355 to 774 of the family's 1533-position model. The record is from RNAcentral.
UGAGGAAUAUUGGUCAAUGGGCGGAAGCCUGAACCAGCCAUGCCGCGUGCAGGACGACGGCCCUACGGGUUGUAAACUGCUUUUCCGGGGGAAGAAUAAGGGCGACGUGUCGCCCGAUGCCGGUACCCCGGGAAUAAGGAUCGGCUAACUCCGUGCCAGCAGCCGCGGUAAUACGGAGGAUCCGAGCGUUAUCCGGAUUUACUGGGUUUAAAGGGUGCGUAGGCGGGCCCCUCAGUCAGCGGUGAAAGUCUGCGGCUCAACCGUAGGAUUGCCGUUGAUACUGGGGGCCUUGGAUUCGGUCGAGGCGGGCGGAAUGCGUGGUGUAGCGGUGAAAUGCUUAGAUAUCACGCAGAACGCCGAUUGCGAAGGCAGCUCGCCGGGCCGAUAUCGACGCUGAGGCACGAAAGCGUGGGGAUCGAACA